GUGAGUGAGAGGAGCGGAGGGAAGAAUCAGAAGGGAUUGGGAGAUUUCGUUCUCCAGUUUUUGGGGAAAAAACGGAAUCCGUUGAGGUUUCAGGUUUUGGGGAAUGAACGGUUUUGCAAUUGCAGAUCUCUGAUGGAGUUUGGGCGGAUGCGUGGCUUUUAUCGGGAAUGUACCGUAUAUUUGGACGCGUUACUUGGCUGUUGGCGUUGAAUGCGUUUCUUUGAAUUUAAAGCUAAGAAGCGGACGCAAAAUCACUGAAGUGGUGUUCUUUUGUGGUUUUGUUUUCGGCUGCGACGAGCAAAAAAUGAUGUUAAGAAAGCCCGUUCUGUUCUUGCUUCUCGUUACUGUUUUUGCUCCUAUUGUCCUCUACACCGAUAGACUUGCAAGCUUUACGAGUUUGUCCUCUACAAAUGGAUUCGAUGAAGAUGUUUCUACUCACAUGAGCUGUCGGUAUGGGAGAUAAGGAAAUUGAAUCUGCUUCCUCAGGUAAAUUCCUGGUUCUAACCAUCCAAGAUUUAGAGAUGCAUGUAAUGAAAGUUCCUAAUCUUAAUCCUUUUUAUCGUUGCCUCUUCUCUAUAAAUUAUCUAGGAGUUAUCGAUUAACUUGAAAGAACCGAUUGACAUUGUUUAUUCGGUUAACGGUCGCAGUUCUGUUUCGAAUUCUGAUGGAUCCUGGGGAAGAAAGGGGUUGGUCAGGUAUUAACACAAAUAGAGGGAUAUUUUGGGAAUUAUGAAAAAACUAACUUGACUUAACCGUCAGAACUAACGAUUGGGAGUUGUUAGAUAACAUCUUUUUCCUGCAAGGGAGGGAAGUGAUAUUAUUGAUAUUUUCACAAAAAUGAUGAGUACAGUUGGUACUUUCCCUUAGUUCAGGGGGUUGAGGGGAGGGGAGUGAAGUUUACCUUUUUUGGUUUUUUGGUAGACACAUGACCAGUCUCAUCAUCUACUUUCUCUUAUCUUGACAUCAUUCCUUGUCAUGUUUCAGGUUCCUUAAAUACAUUAUUUAUAAUUUUAAUGUUUCCUUAUCUUACCACUGAUCCUUACAGCUCCCCAACUUAACAGCCUAACCAGAUUGAAUGACUCAAGUGAAUAAUGAAAAUAAUCAAGCUUCAGUUAUAAAAUUUGGAUUUUUUUCCUGGGUUGGAUCUGGUGUUAGUGACACAUGGGAGGUUGAGGAAAGAAUGAUUGGAUGGGAUAGGAUGGGCUGGAGAGGUGAAGCUAAUAGCGUUGUAAUCCAGGCCAACUGCCUUGUGAUUCACACUGCUAUACGCUGCCAAUGGCACCUGGCAAGGGAAAUUACUGUGGGCAGCAAUGGCAGCUGGUAGCACCAAAGAGAAGAACUGGACUGUGGACAGCAACAAACAUAUGAGAUGGGUUGUUUUUUAUUGUUUCCAAGGUACUUUUAUGUUAGAAAGAAAUGGGAAAGAAUUUCAAUAAAAAACAAUUCAUAUCAGUCAAUCCAUUGUGAGCAAAUAUAUUACUGCAAAACCAAAUCAAUGAUGGGUUUCUAAAUUACUGUUCU
This is a long non-coding RNA of Macadamia integrifolia, 1521 nucleotides long. RefSeq lists it as uncharacterized. The record is from RefSeq and is a predicted model, not a curated record. NCBI's taxonomy places the organism in Eukaryota, Viridiplantae, Streptophyta, Magnoliopsida, Proteales, Proteaceae. The transcript is spliced from 3 exons.